GUUGACCUCGGAUCAGGUAGGACUACCCGCUGAACUUAAGCAUAUCAAUAAGCGGAGGAAAAGAAACCAACAGGGAUUGCCCCAGUAACGGCGAGUGAAGCGGCAACAGCUCAGAUUUGGAAUCUGGCCCCUAGGGCCCGAGUUGUAAUCUGGAGAGGAUGUUUCUGGCGCGGCGCCUUCCGAGUUCCCUGGAACGGGACGCCGGAGAGGGUGAGAGCCCCGUACGGUUGGACGCCUAGCCUUUGUGAAACUCCUUCGACGAGUCGAGUAGUUUGGGAAUGCUGCUCAAAAUGGGAGGUAAAUUUCUUCUAAAGCUAAAUACCGGCCAGAGACCGAUAGCGCACAAGUAGAGUGAUCGAAAGAUGAAAAGCACUUUGAAAAGAGG
This 385-nucleotide ribosomal RNA is filed under the name Leptographium piceaperdum. Its description in RNAcentral is "eukaryotic LSU rRNA". It matches the Rfam family "Eukaryotic large subunit ribosomal RNA", at positions 1 to 386 of the family's 3401-position model. Lineage: Eukaryota; Fungi; Ascomycota; Sordariomycetes; Ophiostomatales; Ophiostomataceae. The record is from RNAcentral.